CACAUGACCAGCUGACACAAAGAAGCCUAAAAUUUUUCCCAGUCCAGUCCCAAACACAUGACAUGGUUCCCAGCAGCCCAGUGCUUCAUCCCUGAGGCAGGGAAGCAGAACUGACUGUGGAAAUCCAUAGAAUGAUUCCUACAUGAUGCAUUUUCCCCCCACUGAAAACCAGAUACCCUUUUCUCUUUCUUGCCUGGUGUUACCACUAAAGCAGUGGCAAAACUUCCUAUAAGCCUACUUGUUUUAUUUGCCUCAGCUCAUUGUGCCAGUUGCCCAUGGACGGAGCAGUGCUCCAAAAGAAGCUGAGCAAUUGCUCCUGGCUGGCUGCAGAGCCCCCACCUUUCCCAUCUGAGCAUCAGGAGCAGCUAUGAAAAACUUCAGCACCAGGCAAGACAAAGGCCUGAAAAGCCAUGGCCGGUAAUAUCAAGUGUGCUGAGGCUGAAAGCUUUGUUCUGAGUCCCAGUGAAGUGUAUUCCUGGAUCUGAGGAAAGCUUCCAUGCUCUGCCUCGUUAACAGACAACAUCAGCAACUAAGGUAACUGCAGCAGUAAAGAGCAUUUCAUCUGCCUGCUCUUUUGGCACCCUAAUGGUCUCCUCAGCAACAAGGCUGUUGAGUGCAGAAGCGUUGACAGCUGGGGGUAUGUGGACACCAAGACUAGGCUGUGAGACAGGAAGAAACAAUACAGGUAAAGACUGGACAUGAAGGUCAACUGCUUCUCACACAGGGCCCAUCCUGGAAGUUCUCUGCCGGCCCAGAUAGCCCUCCACAGCCCCCACUCCCUUGCUGUCUCUUCACAGCACAGCCAUUUUACUUGGCACAGGGCAAAGCAUGAGUUCAGCCACCUUCUCUCCACCAGCUCCACACUUUUGCAGGAGGGCAGACUGGUCCAGGCUGCUUUUCCUUUUUGCAAAAUACUGCCAUCUUCCAGUUUGAAGUAAUCCUACUGAGAUUCUCUUUCCUCUAUUUGUAUGUAUGUAUGUAUCACAACAGCUAACUAGAGCUAGAAGUUUGGAUUUCUAUGGUGUGGGAGUCCAGAUCAAAAGGUGAAGUAGCAGUUCCCGUGUGCUGUGCUGUGUAUGGGGUCUGGAACACACUUAAAAGAAAGAGGAAAGAGCUGCUUUGAAAAAGAAGACCGUUUGGCUGAGGACUCUGAAAAGGCUGACAGGGUUUUAUUGGUCUAAAAUACAAAAAGCUCAGAUUGUCUCCCACCCCCUCGGCAUUCUUCUCAUCCAGAGUAUUGUAAUGAAGUAUCAGCAUUCACAGUGAUAGCUCCAGCCAAACCACAAGACUAUUAAUCCCAGCCUUGGCCUCCAAGCACUUCAUGGAUGAACUUAUCUAAAAGCCAUGCAUAUUGCUGGUAUCUCAGCUUUGAGCAUGAAGUUCACUUAGCCUCUUUGUGGACAAGAGGUAUUAGAGAACAUGCUGACCUGAAAGUCUCUGAAGAAUGCUCCAAACUGUGGCUGUUGCAUGGUUAAGCUGUAUCCUAAAGAAUGAACACUUCCAAAUCAGUGAUUCCCAAGCUGUUGGAUGGGUAUUGCUACCAGCACACCGUGUCAUUUAGGUGUGGUACACAGAUGGGAACUCGGAAUUGCUAUCGAGCAUGUUCUUGUCACUCCUGCUGUUGGCACCCUACCAGCAAGAUUUCAUGGAUUCCUGCUCCAAACCAAAGGUAUUUAAAUCUUCAAUACUAACCACAGUGGGGCAGAAGCUAGAGAGCAGAAAGAGCAAUUCCCUGCAUCCUUCAUCGCUGCAUCACUUCAGACUCCCAGCAGAGGUCAGAGCUCGUUUCUCACACUGUACUUAAGCUCCCGGAGCAGCAAAUCUCCGUGAUAAAAAGCACACAGUGUGGGUCAGCUGUAGGUUUGGUGCUGCUGAGGUAGCUGUAAAUUCACUUCUAUCCCAGCCCAAUAAUACAGCUGAAUACACAACAGCUCCUGUCACAACUGGACCUCUUGUCUGAGACUGCCAGUGACAGGAAACACAAAAGUCAGUUAUGGUGGAUUGUUUUUUGCAAGAUGCAGAUGUUUGCCUAAAUCUGUGCUAGGAUUAAGCCACCCCCAAACCUUAUUUUUGCAUCAGGGCAGCUCUGACCUGCUAGUUGCUUACCUGGGUAUUCUUUGCAAGUGUUUCACUGUAGUAUUUACGCACUAACUCCGAAUAGUGAUUUAAGAACUGGGGCCACUGAU
Long non-coding RNA from Pezoporus flaviventris, 2186 nucleotides. RefSeq lists it as uncharacterized. The transcript has 2 exons. The record is from RefSeq and is a predicted model, not a curated record. NCBI's taxonomy places the organism in Eukaryota, Metazoa, Chordata, Aves, Psittaciformes, Psittacidae.